RNAcentral lists this unclassified non-coding RNA (333 nucleotides) under uncultured Glomeraceae. Its description in RNAcentral is "SSU rRNA". It matches the Rfam family "Eukaryotic small subunit ribosomal RNA", at positions 548 to 886 of the family's 1831-position model. The record is from RNAcentral. Lineage: Eukaryota; Fungi; Glomeromycota; Glomeromycetes; Glomerales; Glomeraceae.
UUGGGGGCAAGUCUGGUGCCAGCAGCCGCGGUAAUUCCAGCUCCAAUAGCGUAUAUUAAAGUUGUUGCAGUUAAAAAGCUCGUAGUUGAAUUUCGGGAUCAGCAGGUUGGUCGUGCCACUGGUAUGCACUGGCUUUGCUGGUUCCUCCUUUCUGAAGAACUGUAAUGCCAUUAAUUUGGUGUUGCAGGGAAACAGGACUGUUACUUUGAAAAAAUUAGAGUGUUUAAAGCAGGCUAACGCUUGAAUACAUUAGCAUGGAAUAAUGAAAUAGGACGUUCGAUCCUAUUUUGUUGGUUUCUAGGAUUGACGUAAUGAUUAAUAGGGAUAGUUGGG